CCUACGAGUAGCAGCAGUGAGGAAUAUUGGGCAAUGGACGAGAGUCUGAACCAGCCAAGUCGCGUGAAGGAUGACUGCACUAUGGGUUGUAAACUUCUUUUAUAUGGGAAUAAAAUGUUCCACGUGUGGGAUUUUGUAUGUACCAUAUGAAUAAGGAUAGGCUAACUCCGUUCCAGCAGCCGCGGUAAUACGGAGGAUCCGAGCGUUAUCCGGAUUUAUUGGGUUUAAAGGGAGCGUAGGUGGAUUGUUAAGUCAGUUGUUAAAGUUUGCGGCUCAACCGGAAAAUUGCAGUUGAAACUGGCAGUCUUGAGUACAGUAGAGGUGGGCGGAAUUCGUGGUGUAGCGGUGAAAUGCUUAGAUAUCACGAAGAACUCCGAUUGCGAAGGCAGCUCACUGGACUGCAACUGACACUGAGGCUCGAAAGUGUGGGUAUCAAACAGGAUUAGAUACCCGGGUAGUC
This 460-nucleotide ribosomal RNA is filed under the name uncultured bacterium. RNAcentral's name for it is "partial 16S ribosomal RNA". It matches the Rfam family "Bacterial small subunit ribosomal RNA", at positions 338 to 795 of the family's 1533-position model. The record is from RNAcentral.